GACGAACGCUGGCGGCGUGCUUAACACAUGCAAGUCGAGCGAGAGCCAGUCGAGGGGUAACCCUCGGCUGGGGACAGCGGCGAACGGGUGCGUAACACGUGGGCAACCUGCCCCUGACACUGGGAUAACCCCGGGAAACCGGAGCUAAUACCGGAUACUCUCGGCCGAUCACAUGGCUGGCCGAGGAAAGGUCCGCCGGUCAGGGAUGGGCCCGCGGCCUAUCAGCUUGUUGGUGGGGAAUGGCCCACCAAGGCGACGACGGUAGCUGGUCUGAGAGGACGACCAGCCACACUGUAACUGAGAUACGGUCCAGACUCCUACGGGAGGCAGCAGUGGGGAAUAUUGCACAAUGGGCGAAAGCCUGAUGCAGCGACGCCGCGUGAGGGAU
Molecule: ribosomal RNA, 388 nt
Filed under: uncultured bacterium
Lineage: Bacteria
Description: bacterial SSU rRNA
Rfam family: Bacterial small subunit ribosomal RNA
Source: RNAcentral